AUUGAACGCUGGCGGAAUGCUUUACACAUGCAAGUCGAGCGGCAGCGCGGGGCAACCUGGCGGCGAGCGGCGAACGGGUGAGUAAUGCAUCGGAACAUGUCCAUGUCGUGGGGGAUAGCCCGGCGAAAGCCGGAUUAAUACCGCAUACGCCCUGAGGGGGAAAGUGGGGGACCGCAAGGCCUCACGCGAUUGGGUUGGCCGAUGUCCGAUUAGCUAGUUGGCGGGGUAAGAGCCCACCAAGGCGAUGAUCGGUAGCUGGUCUGAGAGGAUGAUCAGCCACACUGGGACUGAGACACGGCCCAGACUCCUACGGGAGGCAGCAGUGGGGAAUUUUGGACAAUGGGGGAAACCCUGAUCCAGCCAUUCCGCGUGAGUGAAGAAGGCC
This 385-nucleotide ribosomal RNA is filed under the name uncultured bacterium. Its description in RNAcentral is "bacterial SSU rRNA". It matches the Rfam family "Bacterial small subunit ribosomal RNA", at positions 29 to 416 of the family's 1533-position model. The record is from RNAcentral.